Long non-coding RNA from Leptidea sinapis, 357 nucleotides. RefSeq lists it as uncharacterized. The record is from RefSeq and is a predicted model, not a curated record. The transcript is spliced from 3 exons. Lineage: Eukaryota; Metazoa; Arthropoda; Insecta; Lepidoptera; Pieridae.
AAAUUAGUUUUCACCAUCAGCUGGUAUACUUGGUUGUACACAGAUAUUGAAGUGUGCCAAGUGUCACGAUUGGUACCCGACCUUGUGCCACAGGCCCACGAUCGGUGACUGGCACUGCCCGUCCUGCCAGCGGAAGCUCAACGAGGUGGUCGAACACGGUGCAUCCCAGCAGCCCAUGGAGCAGACGUUCAACAGAGACUGGGACAUGGAACCAACUCCAAAUCAAAGUUUGGAGAGAAGUCCUCAAGGAGAAGGAGAGCAUGGAGCAAGUCCUUGGUUUUCUAUACGGGAGUGUGCCAAGUGUCACUUAGGGUACCCGAGCUUGUGCAAGAGUCGUGCGGCCACCGAGCUGUCAGU